Molecule: long non-coding RNA, 313 nt
Organism: Trachymyrmex septentrionalis
Lineage: Eukaryota; Metazoa; Arthropoda; Insecta; Hymenoptera; Formicidae
Exons: 3
Source: RefSeq, a predicted model, not a curated record
AAGGACACAAUUGUCGCGUAUGUAAAAUGGCGGUGAACGGAUCGUUAGCGAUUGUAGAAAUGCUCCUUAAUCUAAAAGGCUAAAAACGGCAAUUCUGGAUAUCUCGUAGCGUAUCGGACUGAGGAAAAACUAGCCACUAUAAAUUUAUCCAGAAUACUGCGGAUAUUGGAGUCAGCAUAGUCGCGCAUAGUUCCAACUAUUUCUAAAAUACAAAAGUUAUAAAGGAGGAAUUUUUAUAGGAGGAAAUUGCCAUCGGAUGUUGUAUCCACAUCACCGAAAAGCACACUGAUUUUAACAUUUGUAAAGUCCUGAA